UAACAGUAUCAGUCUCACAGGGAGUUUGAGGGUGAAGGGAGGAGAUAGGCAGGAAUCCCUUAGCACAGGGUCUGGCACCUUGGAAGCUGCUCAACAAAAAGCAGCUAUUGGCACGUGCUAGGUGCUGGGGAUAGAGCAACGAACACGUCUUACCUCUGUCCAGCUUAUGCUCCAAAGCAGGAAACAGUGAGAAUCAAGAGGAAGACAUAAAACAGCUCCUAUGUUGGGCAAUGGUGAUGUGCCUGCUCCCCUUCUGCCUCUGCCAUGAUUGGAAGCUUCCUGAGACCUUCCCAGAAGCCUAGCAGAUGCCAGCACUAUGCUUCCUGUACAGCCUGCAGAACCAUGAGCCAAUUAAAC
RNAcentral lists this long non-coding RNA (357 nucleotides) under Homo sapiens (human). Its description in RNAcentral is "HSALNT0372838". Lineage: Eukaryota; Metazoa; Chordata; Mammalia; Primates; Hominidae. The record is from RNAcentral.